GACGAACGCUGGCGGCGUGCUUAACACAUGCAAGUCGAACGGUGAAGCUCCAGCUUGCUGGAGUGGAUCAGUGGCGAACGGGUGAGUAACACGUGAGCAACCUGCCCCAGACUCUGGAAUAAGCGCUGGAAACGGCGUCUAAUACUGGAUACGAGAUCAAGCCGCAUGGUUAUGGUCUGGAAAGUUUUUCGGUUUGGGAUGGGCUCGCGGCCUAUCAGCUUGUUGGUGAGGUAAUGGCUCACCAAGGCGACGACGGGUAGCCGGCCUGAGAGGGCGACCGGCCACACUGGGACUGAGACACGGCCCAGACUCCUACGGGAGGCAGCAGUGGGGAAUAUUGCACAAUGGGCGAAAGCCUGAUGCAGCGACGCCGCGUGAGGGAUGACGGCCUUCGGGUUGUAAACCUCUUUCAGCAGGGAAGAAGCGAAAGUGACGGUACCUGCAGAAGAAGCGCCGGCUAACUACGUG
This 468-nucleotide ribosomal RNA is filed under the name uncultured bacterium. Its description in RNAcentral is "partial 16S ribosomal RNA". It matches the Rfam family "Bacterial small subunit ribosomal RNA", at positions 28 to 507 of the family's 1533-position model. The record is from RNAcentral.